This is an RNA transcript of Mugil cephalus (flathead mullet), 618 nucleotides long. It is a transcript of the gene named lamin-A-like, with no coding region annotated. The transcript is spliced from 3 exons. NCBI's taxonomy places the organism in Eukaryota, Metazoa, Chordata, Actinopteri, Mugiliformes, Mugilidae. The record is from RefSeq and is a predicted model, not a curated record.
AAAAGAGAAAGAGCUGAGAAAGAAGUGGAGACACUGAAGAGGAAACUGUAGACUGAGAACAGCAGCAGCUCAGACAGUCAGGAGACGUUAAGAGACAUCACUGUGGUGGUUAAUGAAAACUACAAGUUUAUCUGUCUGGAAAACAAGUCUAAUCAGGACAAACCACUGGGAGGACGUCAGUUAAAAGUCCAGAUCAACAAUAGUGAACCCAUCACAUACACAUUUGAUCCAUCAGUGAAACUCAAGGCUGGAAAGUCUGUUACUGUGAGUGUUUGUAGAUGUUUCAUUGAUGUUGUUAUAUUUUCCAUUUUCUUACUUUUCCUUCAGUUUUUCUAAUUAUUAUUUUCUGACUGUGACUCUGUGACCUUUGGAUUUACUACAUUUACAGUUCUGCCAUCCAGACUGUAGGUUGUGUCAUGUUGCACUUGCUUACCUGAUGUGGGAGGACCUGAAGUCCUGGGAGUCUGGAGACAUAGUCCAGGCCUCUCUGCAGUGAAAUAGUUCCCAGUUGAACUCCUUCAAUAAAGUUCAGUAAUCCAGCAAACAGCAACAUUAUAGAUGAGAAACAGCACGACUCAGAUCUUCCUGCAGAAACCACACACUGCAGAGAAAGUCUCU